This 460-nucleotide ribosomal RNA is filed under the name uncultured bacterium. RNAcentral describes it as "partial 16S ribosomal RNA". It matches the Rfam family "Bacterial small subunit ribosomal RNA", at positions 338 to 795 of the family's 1533-position model. The record is from RNAcentral.
CCUACGGGAGGCUGCAGUGAGGAAUAUUGGUCAAUGGACGCAAGUCUGAACCAGCCAUGCCGCGUGCAGGAAGACGGCUCUAUGAGUUGUAAACUGCUUUUGUACGAGGGUAAACGCAGAUACGCGUAUCUGUCUGUAAGUAUCGUACGAAUAAGGAUCGGCUAACUCCGUGCCAGCAGCCGCGGUAAUACGGAGGAUUCGAGCGUUAUCCGGAUUUAUUGGGUUUAAAGGGUGCGUAGGUGGUCGGAUAAGUUAGAUGUGAAAUCGCGAGGCUCAACUUCGGAAUUGCCUCUGAUACUGGUAGGCUAGAGAGUAGUUGCGGUAGGCGGAAUGUAUGGUGUAGCGGUGAAAUGCUUAGAGAUCAUACAGAACACCGAUUGCGAAGGCAGCUUACCAAGCUACUACUGACGCUGAGGCACGAGAGCGUGGGGAGCAAACAGGAUUAGAUACCCGAGUAGUC